CUCUAAGAAGUAUUAAUUGUACAUUUGCCUUCCAAGCAAAAGGUUUAGAUUUUAUCCUAGGUUAGAGA
This 68-nucleotide transfer RNA is filed under the name Ceratodoris hiroi. Its description in RNAcentral is "Okenia hiroi tRNA-Gly". Lineage: Eukaryota; Metazoa; Mollusca; Gastropoda; Nudibranchia; Goniodorididae. The record is from RNAcentral.